GAUGAACGCUGGCGGCGUGCUUAACACAUGCAAGUCGAACGGAAAGGCUCCUGCUUGCAGGGGUACUCGAGUGGCGAACGGGUGAGUAACACGUGGGUGAUCUGCCCUGCACUUCGGGAUAAGCCUGGGAAACUGGGUCUAAUACCGGAUAGGACCACAUUUUGGAUGGUGUGGUGGAAAGUUUUUCGGUGUGGGAUGAGCUCGCGGCCUAUCAGCUUGUUGGUGGGGUAAUGGCCUACCAAGGCGUCGACGGGUAGCCGGCCUGAGAGGGUGUACGGCCACAUUGGGACUGAGAGACGGCCCAGACUCCUACGGGAGGCAGCAGUGGGGAAUAUGGCACAAUGGGCGCAAGCCUGAGGCAGCGACGCCGCGUGGGGGAUGACGGCCUUCGGGUUGUAAACUCCUUUCGCUAGGGACGAAGCGCAAGUGACGGUACCUGGAGAAGAAGCACCGGCUAACUACGUG
RNAcentral lists this ribosomal RNA (465 nucleotides) under uncultured bacterium. Its description in RNAcentral is "partial 16S ribosomal RNA". It matches the Rfam family "Bacterial small subunit ribosomal RNA", at positions 28 to 507 of the family's 1533-position model. The record is from RNAcentral.